UUGAAAGCCUAAUGCAUGGUUUUGACUGAUAAAAUCAUUUAAAAUCCAAUACUAAUGACACUGCUGACACUUUUUGACUUUUACAUAAACCAGAAUGAGGAAACUUUGAGUUCAGCACUAUUAAAAAUAAAACACACCCAAACUUGUAAACACUGAAUAUUUCUUUUUAUUCUCUCUUAAUGCUUCAGUGUAUAUUUAGCUUCCAGAAUUAUUUAAGAAAGGCAUGUACAGAAAAUCCAUUAUUAAACUUGUUUUUCGAAAAUCCUGAUCUUAUCAUCUCUAUAGGGCUGCAGUUGAAAACAAAAACAAAAAGAAACAAAAAAAGAAUUCCAUGGCCGAUUUUUUUCUUGCUUGCUGUUUUGAUUUGUAUUUGUUCAAUUAUGCAUCUCUGAAUGAACCUAGCCUCUCUUCCUCUAACCUUCUUCUGAACUUAAAUGAUUUGUAUGUGGUGUAAUCAUAUUUCCUGGUCCCAUGGCACUCCAGAGUCUAACUGUGUAUGCCUCCCUCUCAUUUCCAUACAGAGAACCAAAUGCUUGGCCAACUUCCCUAAUUAGAGUCGCUGGGCCCCUGUGGCCUCCUGGCAAUACCCUCUCUUCCCAGCAUUCUUCCAGUUUUGCCGGUUUUUUUCCAUCUCUCCCUGCAGUAGCCUCUCCUCCACUUUCCCCUGCCUCUAAGGAGCUGGCUUCAACAUUUGUUUAUAUACCAAAAUAAUUGAGGGCUAAAUUAAUUUUCAGCUUUAACUUAUCAAGCUCCUUUUCAAUUGUGGUAGUUCUCCCCCUUCAGACUCUGGACUUUGGCAAUUAGCAAAGGUUUUGAAAACAGCAAGUGCACGAUAGGUAUUGAUUGACCGGUUGAUGGACUGUGUCCUCCAGGCCUGGAGUCUCUGAUUUUAUGAUUGAUUGACUUGCUGGAUUUUCUUCUUCACGGGUUCCCCAUGCCGGAUCACUAAAUCACACAGAAAGCCAUUGAGCGUGUUUGUAAAGCCCAUUCUUUUAAUAUCUCUGCUUCUUUUGUAAAAGAGGCUUAAUGGAAGAAUGAAUACAAACUCCUUCACUAUGAGUUUUGUAAAUGACAGGAAACAUAUUUCAUAUCUUUUUAUAUACUAAAUACUCGAUAUAUUGGCGAAGACAUAGCAGAAGCUAAAGUUUAGGGGAAAUAUGAUUGUGAAGUAUGUUGGACAGCCUCAAGAUGGUGAUUAAUGGUCUCCACUUCCUGAUAUGUAUGCUGUGUUUGACCCCCCCCCCCACCUAAGCAUAAGCCAGCCUAGUGACUUGAUUUCAAAUAAUAGAAAAUAGCAGAGAUGGUGGGAUCUCACCUUAGUGGAUGGUUAUAAGAGAUUGUAAGUUCCAUAUUGCUAGCAGAGUCUCUUUAUUGACUGUCCCCCAUGCUACCUUUAAUAAAGCAAACUGCCAUCUUGAAGAGGCAAGGAAUUAAGGGCUGCCUCUGUCUAACAGUCAUCCAGGAACUGAGGCCAUUAGUCCAACAGCCCUUGAAGAAUGAAUUCUGCCAACAACCACAUCAGCCUAGAAAUGAAUUCUUUCCCCGUUGUGCCUUUAGAUAAGAUUCCAGACCAGACCAAUACCUUAAUUAUAGCCUUUUGGAAACUCUGAAAUAGAAGACUCAAAUAAGUCAUGCCCAGACUCUGAUCCACAGCAAGUAUGAGAUAAUAAGUGUGCAUUGCUUUAAGCCACUAAAUUUAUUAUAAUCCAUUAUAUAGCAAUAGAUAAUGAAUACAGAAUGGUCAUGUUUGUGGAGUGUCAUCUCUGUACUGGACCUUGGAAGAGAGCUGCCUGAUGCACAGAACCUCCUUUUGCCUUAACAACCAUUCUGCAAGGUAUGGCUUUGGUUGGCAUAUAGGCAUGACUCUACAUUGCAAAGACAUAGAAAAAGCAGUAGUUGAGAGAAAUUAGCCUAGCCUGCCCAAUACCACACAGAGCCAAGAUUCCAAAACCUGAACUAGAUCCUAUGAAAAUGGGAAUAGGAAAAAAGGAAAGAGAGACCUCUGUGAGUCCUGGUUCCAUGUGUCAGGAAUAAGAUAGGGGAUUGAGCUUUAGGUAACACAGGUGAAACUGGCCUCCAAAAUACAAGAGAAGGUGAAAUAUUAACAGGGUCUAAGUUGUGAUAUACAGAAAUAAUACUCUAGGGGAGGUAGAAAAUCAGUUUGAACUCUCUAGUGUUGCCUAAGAAUCAGUUGGCUAAUGAAGUUAUAGAAAGAAUUCAAAAAAGAGCCACAGAGAUGGUGUCCAAUUUUUUUUUUCAAAAUCUGCUGCAAGAAAUUUCUUUUCCUACUCAUUUUUUCCAGGAAGGCAAUGUUUUACAUUGCUGAGAGGUUCUUAGGCUAGCUAGAAAUAUAGGUAACAAUAAUGCAGCUGAAAUGCUAUACAUUUGUAAUGAAACUAACAGAAUGCCAGACACUAGAAAUGAUACAUAUUAGACAACAACAACGAAAUAAACCCCCAUAAGAGAAAAAUAAAUUGCUUAACUAAAUUAUUUCCUCAAGAAAGUCAGCUGUAACGGAAAAUUUAUGAGGAUUCUGGGCUUUUGUAAGAGUUUUAAAAACUGCUACCACUAACCAUAUAUUGUUACUUCUAAUUUCUUUACAAAACAACAUAUUUUUUCUUGAUACAAAUAUAUUGCUAGUACUAUUCUCAUUCACAACAGGCAUGAAUAGGGAUACACAGAGUGAGGUGUUUUGUUUAGAGAUAACUAGAUAAGAAGUUGGAAGAAGGAGUGCAAACGAGAAAGGGAUUAAGAAAAUAACUGGGUACAAAAUAAAACAACAAAAUAAAAUGUUUGCUGGUAAAAGAAUCGGCUGAGUUAGAUGUAUUAGUAAAUCCAUCUCGGGAACAAAUUGGAAAGCUAACUCCACAAAUUACCUUCUGUAUAUGGCUUGUCAAUUCCUGGGCCUCAGAUUUCUCAUCUUAAAACUCAGAUUAUAAUGUUUGCUUCUACAUUAAAUGGCCUAAGGUAGAUGGCAAUUUCUUGUAGUGUAGUAGACUCAGAAUGAUGUCUGUUCAAUCUGAAACUUGAGUCUGUGUUACCUUCAUAAAGGGGAAUAAUGGAAGUCAUAAAGAAAAAAACAUUUGGAUCAUCAUCUUCCCAUGAUAGAUUUCUUUGGUGAAGGUGGAAGAGAGCUAGAAAAUGGAAAAGAACAGAUCAAACAGAGGCAAAGCCUAGAAAACGUGGCCGAGCCCAGCGAGAUGUCUAGCAAACACAUUUCCUCUUCCUCUCAAGGCAAACUAUGUGACUCCCUUACAGGUGAGAGAGACCAUGUGAGCAGUUCUUGCCAAUGGAGAGUGAGUGAAAGUGAUUUGUUUACAGUUAAAUAAUAAAAGUUGUACCUAAGUGUGUCUUCCCCAUGUGUCUCCUCUUUCCCAUCUGCCAGCUGGGUUAUAACUGGGAAACGCUGAGCUGUGUUUUGAAGAAGGGCUACCAGAUAAGAGCAGCCUGAGUCCCUGAAUGUUGGCCUAGAGCAUGGGCUGAGUCCCAUAUUGACUCCUUUGGACCGAAUAUGAAUGAAAAAGAAAGCCUUAGUGUGUUGAUCCAUUCAGAAUAUGGAAUUGUAAAGGCAACUCCUAUUAUUUACAAAUAGAGCAUAAAUGGGAGAAAAACAGGGGCAUUGUGUAGCCAACGCUGAAUUUAUGUUUGUUUGGGAAGUAAAAGUCUAGGUUCCGAGAACACAUAAAAACUCAUUGAUAAUUUUUUUUGUGUGUGUCAUAGAAAUAUUCCCCUUGGAUUCCUGUCAGUGGUCAAUUUCUCCUGUCCAUUGAAAAUCAUUGUAUUUACAACAUAAUUCUGCAUGUGUGGCCAUUAGAUACGAACGGGAUACCAGCAUACUGCCCAGACUGAUUGCUCCAAAAUGGAUUCCCAAAGCGGAAAAUCUAUAAAAGAGUCAUCAAAGUUUUCAAGAUGAGAACAAGCUGCAGCGGAGCAGACCAGACGGGGAGCUAGAAGCGAAAUAAAAAGUGAAACCUGAAAUUAAAAACACGUCAAAAUCCAUCAGUUUGGUAUGGCUGAAAUAUAUUCUUACCUAGUGGGAACUGAUUGCCCUUGAGGGUGUCUCAAAUCUCUUUCCAGCCCUGCACUUUGAUGCUUUAAGAUCCUGAGCUGGGAGAUAAUUGGCUGAAUAUUUUGCCUUUGAUUUGGAAUUUCUAACCCUCCACCCAGUCCUGUAUGUUGUUGCUACAAUGUUUAUUUUCUGACCUGGGCCACUUGCACCUACUUCGUGAUACUGUUGGGUACUUUCCUGUAGCCUGAAUUAGUUUAAUGGUCCUGACAAUGAAUUUCCAAGUAAUUGCAAUGGCUUCACUCCAUGAUAUGUCUCUCAGGGCACUCUUGGAAAUUAAAUGUUACUUCUCAACAGUUAUUUGCUUACUUCAUCCCCAUUUUGUUAAAUAAUCAUAAAAACCCUUUUGAAUUUAAAUAUGCGUGCUCUAUUAUCUGAAAGGUUUGGCAAGAUGAAGAGGUUGGGUGAAACUAAGCUGACACCAUGCUCUCUUUGCUCUCUCACUGGAUGUUCCAUUGGUAUUGUGUUCAUCUUAGGCUUUAUGGAGCUUACUUACUGCUCUGUGCCCACUGGGGUCCUGCUUUCUUUACAACAACUGUAGCAGAAAUACCUGCUGUUUAGAAGUGGCUUGAGCCUUUCAACAACACUGAAAAUACUUCAACCUAGUUUACAGCAAAGGAAGAAGUUGAAUAUUCUUUUGUAUUGGAGGACUUUUCCACAGGAUUUCCAAGGAUUUAUUCUGAUUGAAAAAAAUAGGCAGUGUCCUAAGACACCUGCAGGUGAUCUUGUAACAAUGAUUACACACCUUUUCUGAGUCCAGUUGAUGAGAAGGAUUUGCCCCUCCUGUUGGAGUCCUUUCCUUCUAGAGGAGUUGUGGAGGUUGUCCACCUGUACAAUUGGAGGGGAGGAAGUUGCCUUCUUUUGAAGAAUUUCACUCAAUGAGACAUUAAGUGACUUGUCCAAAUUCAACAAAAAAGACUUCUGCCAUAUCCCCAUUUCAAAUGUUCCAGAGCAGUAUGGUGUUGGAGAGAGGUGUUCAGCUUUGGACAGAGACACUUGAUCUGAGUUCUGGGACCAUCCCUUUUCGUCUGAAUGACUGUCCACAUCAUAACAGCAUCUGAGCUUCAGGUCUUAGAGAAAGAACAGUCUAUCUUUCAGGGGUUGUUGUUGGUCCUAUAAAAUGGCUUUAAUCUACCCCAAAAUAUCAUAGAUACUAAGAAAUAAUAAAUACUAUAAUUCUUAGUUCUCUCAUGAUUAUUUCUAACAGGCUGGUUGGUUUAAGACAGGCACUUGUGAUAUGAGUCAUGAUAGAGCCCAGAAAUUAUUCUUAGAAAACUUAAAGUUUUAUUCCUUGUAUGUGAAAUUUACCUGACCACUUGACAUGGUAGGUUCUUGUUCAUCAAAAGUACACUACACAGAUCUGAUGAUUUCAUGAAGGAAGGCUACGUGGAUUAGCUAAUGGAAAAAGAGAAUUUCCAUUUUCAUCCCCAUACCCCCCUGUAUGGCUCUAUUGUGUGAUCUUAGGCAAACAAGUACAUUUUCCCAUCUCUUUGGGGAGGAAGAGCAGAGGGCUCUAUCUGCAAUAUCAAGGCUAUAUCUGUGUAAAUUAUUUCCAAGAGACGAGUGAGAUUGACUGCAAUAAUGUCCCUCAAGUACUUGGCAUUCCUUGGAAGAAAACAUGAUGUAAUUGGACUUUAAUAACUUGGAUGAAAAUGUAUCCUAGGGCCAUAAAAUGUUUCUCGACAACAUUAGAUCUAGGCGAGUUAUUAUGAUUACCUCCUAAGAAGUGUUCGGAUUAACAGAUAUGUGAUUAUAAAGUCCAUUACAAAGGCAGAAUCAGAAGAAGGGAGAGGUACAGAAAAGGACCCUGAUAUUUCAAUGCUUCACACUCCUGGACAUUUUAGGCAGAGAAGUUAUUUUAUCACUUGUAUUGCCAGGCUCAGUAGGGGAAUAGCUGAACGAGGAGGCCUGUCUCGAAUACCAUUUCCACCUUCCUACUUCCUUUGUAUCACAGGCUGCUUAAAGGAACUUCCUUCAAUCACAGUGUGUAAGAGCAAUGCCAUGAGAGUGAAAACACUUGGGUCUACCAUUUCUGCCUCCAGCAAGUAUGUGAUUCAUACAAACAUCCAUUCGGCAAAGUCUGACUGAAUACCUUCUGUUCAAGGUGUUACACAUACACAAACAUAAAUACAACAUGAUUCUUGACCUCAGUUAAAAAUGCUCUAGUGGAGAAGACCAGAUGUUGUGUGCAAAUACACCUCUUUACAGAUUCCUAAAGCAUUAUGGCUGAUUUCCCAGUGCUGAUUAUUCCUAGUCAGUUAUGCUAAUCUCACCCCCACCACCUCAUUAUUAUUGAGGGAUUCAGGGAUGAAUGUGGGUCUAAGCCACUUUGGGGUAUUGAAACACUAGAAGUGACUUUCUAGAGAUUUUUGGUAGGAAAAAAAAUUCCCCAGUGUUUGGUUUGUCUUAAAAGACCAUUCCAUACCCAUAAGUGAAACUAGCUUAAAGACGUUAAAGCUGUUGAUAGCAGAGAAAAGAGAGAGAGAGAGAGAAACUGC
Molecule: long non-coding RNA, 6564 nt
Organism: Acinonyx jubatus (cheetah)
Lineage: Eukaryota; Metazoa; Chordata; Mammalia; Carnivora; Felidae
Exons: 3
Source: RefSeq, a predicted model, not a curated record